GGGGGAAUAUUGCGCAAUGGGGGAAACCCUGACGCAGCAACGCCGCGUGAUUGAAGAAGGUCUUCGGAUUGUAAAAAUCUUUUAUCAAGGACGAAGAAGUGACGGUACUUGAUGAAUAAGCUCCGGCUAACUACGUGCCAGCAGCCGCGGUAAUACGUAGGGAGCAAGCGUUAUCCGGAUUUACUGGGUGUAAAGGGCGAGUAGGCGGGUCGGCAAGUUGGGAGUGAAAUGUCGGGGCUUAACCCCGGAACUGCUUCCAAAACUGUUGAUCUUGAGUGAUGGAGAGGCAGGCGGAAUUCCCAGUGUAGCGGUGAAAUGCGUAGAUAUUGGGAGGAACACCAGUGGCGAAGGCGGCCUGCUGGACAUUAACUGACGCUGAGGAGCGAAAGCGUGGGGAGCAAACAGGAUUAGAUACC
Molecule: ribosomal RNA, 416 nt
Filed under: uncultured bacterium
Lineage: Bacteria
Description: bacterial SSU rRNA
Rfam family: Bacterial small subunit ribosomal RNA
Source: RNAcentral